This is a long non-coding RNA of Echinops telfairi (small Madagascar hedgehog), 517 nucleotides long. RefSeq lists it as uncharacterized. The transcript is spliced from 4 exons. The record is from RefSeq and is a predicted model, not a curated record. Lineage: Eukaryota; Metazoa; Chordata; Mammalia; Afrosoricida; Tenrecidae.
UUCAAAAGCAGUGUGCAAACAGCAGCCGGGUGAUUGAGUGACUGCUUGGAAGAAGGACAGUGGGGAGCCUGCCGAUCGUCCUCAAGCUGUCUAUGUUAAAAGAACUCUUUGGUGUUCUGUUUGGAGAAAAAAAUAUUUGAAGAUGGAACUAAUGCCAAAGUACCUUUGUCUUUUUAUUCUUGUGAUUUUAGUGGAAUAUCAGCCUAACUUACAAUUGGUUUAUUCAGCACCCACAACACAGAAUGGAUCCCAAGGCGAGCUGGGUAAUCAAAAUGGAAUGAUAAAAUAUUAUGGAUGUACUUCAAGUUUCUCAGGCAUAAUAAAAAAUUUCACUAAUAUCCAGGAGACUAAACCUCAGAAGGAUGUUGAAAUCGCAUAUGCUAUACCUAAAAGAUACAUCAAAUGGAAUUUAGAGAAUAGAGAAUUCUAAAAUUCAUUCCAAAAUUAUCUGUAAUUUCUCUUCAUUACAGACAGGAUGCCUAACUUUCACUAAUAAAUGCAUGAUGACAUCAGAAAA